AAAUGUUUUAUUAAGUAUAUAUAAUAUUACAGGGUAAUAUUUACAAAGUUAUUUUUUAAAUAAAAAAAAUACCUUGGCAAAGAUUGCAGAUUUUCAAAGCUUCAAACAGCGACAAAUUGAUUUAAUACAUAUUAAAAACAAAAAACAAAAAAAAAAGAGAAAGAAAAAGGAAAAAAAAACUGACAGUAACAACAUAGCUGUAAAACAACUUUGGUUUUUAAAUCACUGUAAGAAUGGCUACUGACAAAUAGCACACCUUUAAUUGCUAUACAGAAAAGCCCCCAAAAGGGCCUUUGUACAUAGCAAAACUGAAGUUUUCUUCAUUUAGAAUGGUUAAUGGAUAUUUACAACACGUGGGAUCCAAUUUUUGACAAUGGCUUUUUGUAAAUGAUGCUUCAUUUAAUUAAAAAUAAAAAUCUGCUUCUCGUCCUCACCAACCCCUAUCACAAGACUUUAAGGUUCCACUGCUGUUGCCUUACAAGGAAGUCCAUUAAAGGUGAUUUUCUUUUGAAAAGUCUGAAUUUGUGAGAAACAUUUUAAAUAAAGCCAGAGUAUAUAGCUAUUAUGAUCAAGAGCCUCAGGCACAUGCUCCCCCAUAUAAGGCAGGUACUAACAUUUUAGCAUCAGAAAAACUUCCUGUUUAUUGCUGUCUCCUUCCAUGGAUUAAUUGGAUUAUAUUCACUGACAUAUGAGAACAGCCAAACUCAGGAUCUAAAUGGGCUUGGGAGGAAUAGUAGAUGAUUGCUAUUUGCUAUCUUUCCCUAUAAUAUGCACAUAAACACAGCAGACAUUGCAAAAACAACAACAAAAAAAACACUGAACAAAACACAAAUAAAAAUCAUAUAGAGCUGCCCUACACAUAUUUUUUUCCUGGUUUUCACAAACAGAUGAAUGAAUGGUGGAUAUAUGUAGCAUUUUUUUCACAGAGACCAACAGUAAGUACCACUAAUUCUUUUUUGUUGUUGUUAUUGUUAGAAAAGUGAAGAGAAUUUGGAAAGAAUGAGAUGGGACUCUACCACCACUCUCUCAGACCUCAAGGGGAUUAUUUAAGUGCUUUGAAAUUGGCCUCUUACUAAAAGGAGUUGUUCAUUUCCUUCACAAUGACAGGAAAGCUCCCUUGUUUUUAAAAAGUUGUAACAUUCUAAUGAUUUUUUUCUUUUUUUGGAUUUGACCUAAACGUUCAUGUUAAAAAAAAAAAAAAUCACCUUUUAAGAUUUCCAUAACACAAAACUUGUCAAUAGAAAAAAAACUCUUAUAAUAAGUCUGAGGGGGGAAAAAUUUCAAUUAUAGCCAACUCUUGAUUACCAACCCAAAUUACUAUCUACUAUGUGCAAAGCAUUGAACUAGGCACUAUGGGGAGAAAGAAAGAAAGAAAAUGAUUGUUUAUUCUCCUGAAAUAUCUACUGGGAGAUAUAGGAAAAAUAUUCUUAACAUGUAUGUGCAUGUAUGGGUGUGUAUAAUUUAAAAUGCUGCAGCUCUGUCUGCACCUUAAAGAUAUGUCCACUAAAUUAUUUUGAAUUCACCAAAAGGGAACUUCUUUAGAGAGGAAUAAUUUCCAUAUUUACUUUCUGAAGUUCUAUAUAUUGGAUUUACUUAAAACAAGGUACAUCCAUAAAUAGUUGUAUAGACAUAAAUACAUAAGUACUAAGUAAAUAGGGAUUUUGUUAGUAAGAUAAAGAAAAGGGAUGAUGAAUUUAUGAAUCUGAAGAAGAAAGAUGGUAUAUAGGCAGGUGAGGAAGACUGGUAAAGGGGGAAGGUAUUUCAUAAGUAAGGGCUUAAAUGCUAGAGGUUAGAAAAGGGAGUGAAAGAACUGUACCCAAGAAUAUAGUAAAUCAGUACAUGAGGAUAGGUUGGACAAAGAAUUAAAAAAAAAAAUAACUAAUAGGUGAAGAGAGUUGGAGAAACUAUUAGAUCUUUUGAAGCAUUAAAAUAACUGAUGUUUAAGAACAAUUUGAUCAAAAUAAUGAGCAAGAAAUAUGAUUCCUGUUGAGGUAUAUAGACCAAAUAAAUGGAAAUAGCUAAAGAUAGCCAAGAAAACUGCUGGGAAACUGAGUAAAACUAUAUUAGAGGUGAUUUAAAAAACUCAGAAAUCAUUUCAAAUAUUUUUAUGUACCCCACCCACCCAUUUUACAAAUAAGCAAAAAAUCUGAAGCUCAAGGAAAUCACUUUCCUAUAGUCACACAGUGGCAGACUAAAACUGAGAUCUCAUGAUUUCAGUUCAGUGCUCAUUCCACUACAUGAUUCCUCCAAGGGGUAACGUGCUUAAUAAAAAUAAUAGAAACAUGGUAAAUGCUAAUAAGAAUAACAAAUACAAGGUAGGUGUUUAGUAUAUUUUAGUAGUUCAAAUGUCAUAUGGUUAAGACCACAUAGGAAUGAAGAGAGGAAAGGAAAUCUAGACAAUGUUAUGGAGGCAGGAAUAAAAAAGACUUAAGUGAUAAAUGCAAUAUGGAAACCUAAGGAAGACAGAAUUUUUUGUAAAAAAAUUAAUACAUGGGUAUUAAAAAAAAACACAAAACUUCUCUGGCUGGUGGUUUCAAUGUCCUCCCCCUGGUCAAACUUCUUCCAGAGCUGCUCGAGAAUCAGUAAGCAAGCAUUUAUUAAGCACCGAUGUGCUAACCAUUAUAUUACAUGCCUUAGAGAAACAUGACUAAUUCAAUUAAUUUCCUCUUCACAAUCUUCUGGCUGCCACUUUCUGAUGGAGUUGCUUUGGUGGCAGUGAAAAGCCCCAAAGGCAGAUAGAAAUAGGGAGAAUACAAAAAUAAGGAUACUUCCUGCAUAACUGUCCCUGAAAUAUUGAGAGUUCACUAUAUUUAAAAAAAAAAGAAAAAAAAGAGGACAAUGGCAGUUUAGUGAGGAAUUCAUUGGAAAAAUCCUCAUACCUGGCUAUUCUUUUAAAAAAUAGAGAUUUGAACUUUUGCAAUUUCAUCUGCUUUAGCUAUUUUUCAGUUUUAUCAACAUGAAUUCCCCCUUUAUACUCCCAAAGUAGAAAUAAUUCAGGGGAAAGAAGAGCGGCAGGAAUUGAUGGACUUCCUGUAACCUAGCUCCUCUAUUUAAGCCAAUAUUUUGAAUAACACCACAAAGAGUGGGAAGGAAAAAUGACAAAAGUAUAAAAGAAAAAUAGAGCUGGCUUUGUAAAAAGUAUCUUGAUUUUUUUGAGGCAUCAAAAGGUCAUUAAAUUUUGGUUUGUCAAAGACAAACCACUUGGUCCCAACAUGAAAUAUGAAAAUUAAGUUGAGUAGUAUUGAACUAGCAUACAAAAGAGGCACAUGGGAACAUUCGGUGGACUAAGAAAUAACUAUCAUCAAUGCAACCACAUAUAUGACUGCUGUAUUAUACAAAUGGGGAAAAUGGCUGGUACUCAAGGGUACUGAUGAGCACAAAGCUGGACAACUGACUUUUUUUUUUUAAUAACCAAAUUAUUUUAAUGAUCAGUUCUACCUAAUUAAAUACCUUUGUUUUAAAUUAUUACUGAAAGUAGAAAAUCAAUUAUUUGCUCUGUGUUCACCCCAAUUGUCCACAUGAAACAAGCAUGUGCCUAUCACACAAACACACAGACACACAGACACACAUACCCUCACAGACACACACCCUCAACUCACAGACACAUGAACAAGGUAAAAACGAGUGCUAAUAAUCUAAAAGUACAGGCAAUCACAGCUGCCAUAAUGGUAAACUUCAAACCAGGGCAGGAAAGGAUUUUGUGUGUGUUUUUUUAAGGUUUUAGUCUUAGAGAAGGGAGAGGUUGAGGAGGGAAUACAAGAGGAUGGUGUUGAUGAGUUGUUUUUCCAUGCAACAUAGAUACAACAAUAGUUUUAAAAAAGGCCCUCUGGAGAAGCUGGCCUGAUGGUGAUGCACUAGACUGUACUGCCAUGCAGGAGAUCAAAGCUCAAGUCUCAAUCUUGGUUUUUCAUGCCCCAGACCAAAAACUAAGUGAAAUA
RNAcentral lists this long non-coding RNA (3938 nucleotides) under Sarcophilus harrisii (Tasmanian devil). RNAcentral describes it as "lncRNA (ENSSHAG00000023030.1)". The record is from RNAcentral. Lineage: Eukaryota; Metazoa; Chordata; Mammalia; Dasyuromorphia; Dasyuridae.